AUCCAGAUGACGAAUCCCAAAUAGGACGAAAUGUGCACCCUGGAU
This 45-nucleotide non-coding RNA is filed under the name Trichobilharzia regenti. Lineage: Eukaryota; Metazoa; Platyhelminthes; Trematoda; Strigeidida; Schistosomatidae. The record is from RNAcentral.